This is a small nuclear RNA of Diceros bicornis minor, 107 nucleotides long. The record is from RefSeq and is a predicted model, not a curated record. NCBI's taxonomy places the organism in Eukaryota, Metazoa, Chordata, Mammalia, Perissodactyla, Rhinocerotidae.
GUGCUUGCUUCGGCAGCACAUAUGCUAAAACUGGUACAAUACAGAGAAGAUUAGUGUGGCCCCUGAACAAGGAUGACAAGCACAUUUGUGAGGCGUUCUGUACUUUU